RNAcentral lists this ribosomal RNA (634 nucleotides) under Penicillium steckii. Its description in RNAcentral is "eukaryotic LSU rRNA". It matches the Rfam family "Eukaryotic large subunit ribosomal RNA", at positions 1 to 649 of the family's 3401-position model. Lineage: Eukaryota; Fungi; Ascomycota; Eurotiomycetes; Eurotiales; Aspergillaceae. The record is from RNAcentral.
UUGACCUCGGAUCAGGUAGGGAUACCCGCUGAACUUAAGCAUAUCAAUAAGCGGAGGAAAAGAAACCAACCGGGAUUGCCCUAGUAACGGCGAGUGAAGCGGCAAGAGCUCAAAUUUGAAAGCUGGCUCCUUCGGGGUCCGCAUUGUAAUUUGCAGAGGAUGCUUCGGAAUCGGCCCCCAUCUAAGUGCCCUGGAACGGGCCGUCAUAGAGGGUGAGAAUCCCGUCUGGGAUGGGGUGUCCGUGCCCGUGUGAAGCUCCUUCGACGAGUCGAGUUGUUUGGGAAUGCAGCUCUAAUUGGGUGGUAAAUUUCAUCUAAAGCUAAAUAUUGGCCGGAGACCGAUAGCGCACAAGUAGAGUGAUCGAAAGAUGAAAAGCACUUUGAAAAGAGAGUUAAAAAGCACGUGAAAUUGUUGAAAGGGAAGCGCUUGCGACCAGACUCGCCCGCGGGGUUCAGCCGGCAUUCGUGCCGGUGUACUUCCCCGCGGGCGGGCCAGCGUCGGUUUGGGCGGCCGGUCAAAGGCCCCUGGAAUGUAACGCCUCUCGGGGCGUCUUAUAGCCAGGGGUGCCAUGCGGCCUGCCCGGACCGAGGAACGCGCUUCGGCUCGGACGCUGGCAUAAUGGUCGUAAGCGACC